CCCUUAUCUGUCACCUCUUCCAUCUGUCUCUGCCUGAUAUGUGCUGCCAGCAGUGCCCUGAGCCAGCCACCCCCUCCAGUGCCCUGCAGUGGGGCCAGAGCACCUCUGAUGGAGGGUGACCUUGGGUUUUGGAGCAGACCUUCCCCCUGCUGCCACUGGCCCCGUGGGUGCUCCCACAGCGGGGUGGACCAGUGCCAGGAAGAACCCCCUCCUCGUCUGGGCGAGAUUUCCACACCUCAGUGGCGGUGGCGAGCGCUCUGCAUGGCUCGCAUUGAAAUGAGCUCGGCAGGCGGGCAGCGCUAGCGGGGGGCUGCCACCCAUCCCCUCUGCCAGCCCGCCCCGCGGAGCCGCUGAUGUUUUUGGGAAGGAGUCAUUUGCCUGCCGUGGGGUUGGGGUUUCUGGCUCCGGCGGGAGCUGCGGUGUUGGGGUUUCCUGUUUACCCGCGCAGCUGUGCCGGCGGCUGCAGGGAGGUCGGGGCUGGACCUCGGCCGGAGCAUCCCCAGCGCCAGAACAUCGCCGGUGCCCGAAGUGGCUCCGGGGUCCAAGGCCUGCCUGCGGAACCCCAACCAGCAAAAGGCUUUUUAUGAAGGCAGCGGAGCGAUCCGCUGGUAGAUGCUGCACGCGCAUAAUUAAUUAAAUAGCAUAAUUAAUAA
Long non-coding RNA from Parus major (Great Tit), 653 nucleotides. RefSeq lists it as uncharacterized. The record is from RefSeq and is a predicted model, not a curated record. The transcript has 2 exons. NCBI's taxonomy places the organism in Eukaryota, Metazoa, Chordata, Aves, Passeriformes, Paridae.